This is a non-coding RNA of Acanthosepion pharaonis, 108 nucleotides long. The record is from the annotation of a GenBank genome assembly. NCBI's taxonomy places the organism in Eukaryota, Metazoa, Mollusca, Cephalopoda, Sepiida, Sepiidae.
CCUACUCACAUUGAAACACCGGUUGGCGUGCGAUCACCGAAGUUAAGCAACGUCGAACCUGGCCAGUACCUAGAUGGGUAACCGCUUGAGAAUACUAAGAGUUGUAAG